RNAcentral lists this ribosomal RNA (158 nucleotides) under Phyllosticta philoprina. RNAcentral's name for it is "5.8S ribosomal RNA". It matches the Rfam family "5.8S ribosomal RNA". From Rfam's summary of the family: 5.8S ribosomal RNA (5.8S rRNA) is a component of the large subunit of the eukaryotic ribosome. It is transcribed by RNA polymerase I as part of the 45S precursor that also contains 18S and 28S rRNA. Lineage: Eukaryota; Fungi; Ascomycota; Dothideomycetes; Botryosphaeriales; Phyllostictaceae. The record is from RNAcentral.
AUUCAAUUAAUUAAAACUUUCAACAACGGAUCUCUUGGUUCUGGCAUCGAUGAAGAACGCAGCGAAAUGCGAUAAGUAAUGUGAAUUGCAGAUUUCAGUGAAUCAUCGAAUCUUUGAACGCACAUUGCGCCCUCUGGUAUUCCGGAGGGCAUGCCUGU